GCGCCUGAAGAGGAGCCUGCGGCGGAUUAGCUAGUUGGUGAGGUAACGGCUCACCAAGGUAACGAUCCGUAGCCGGCCUGAGAGGGCGGUCGGCCACACUGACACUGACAUACGGGUCAG
Molecule: ribosomal RNA, 120 nt
Filed under: uncultured bacterium
Lineage: Bacteria
Description: partial 16S ribosomal RNA
Rfam family: Bacterial small subunit ribosomal RNA
Source: RNAcentral